AAUCAAAUAUAUGACAAAGUAUUUAUAGGAGAUGCAAAGAGCCGAGAGAGAGGAGAUCCCGGCGAACAGCGCCACGAUGGCACUUCGCCGCUGCCUCGCGGCAUGGACUUGAGCACUCGUCGUAAGCGAUGCGAAGGGAAAAAGCACUGUAUGGCCAUAUGAUGCUUGACAGGCUGGAGUUACCAUGUUAUGAUUCCUUCUUGGAUUGCUAAAUUUGAACCAGAAUGAUCCAGCAACAGCUUUCUGGAUCCUAUGACUGUCAGGUGCCAAAUUGAAACUCAUGGUUUGUGCUUUCACAAGUUGGCAUACAAUCUCCAAAAGGGAUUAGCACUGGAAGAUCCAGCGACUUCUAACUAUUUUCUAGUGUAACUAGAACUCUUCAAAGUAAAACAAAGAUGGGCAUGCAAAAUCAGCGAGAAGAAGCUUCUUAAUGAAUGUAAUAUUCUUCACCAUCAACUUGAAGAAAGUAGUGUUAACUUUCUUACAUGAGAGGAACAUAAGUUCACAAUGAGUCCAUCACUGCCCAACGCUUUAUGUCUCCUGACAACCUCAGACAGCAGGCACAACUCCUGGCACAGGAUAUUGACAUACCGGCUUUGAUAUGACAAAAGCCAGAAGCAUUGGUGAUAGUGAUGUAAUGGACGAUGACGUGCAAAAAAUGCUGCCAGAUACUAUCAUAGACAAUGGUAGACUCAGGAAGCACAUCAAGUAGUUGUUCGACUUGUUCCCAAAAAUUGUUAGUAAACCAGAGAAAGAAGUUAGCGAUGUCAUUUCCUCCGGCAAAGCUAUUAUAAGCAGGUUCUCUCAAAGGUGAGGCUAUAGCAAAUUUCCUUGAGCUGACAGCCAAAGAUGAUGCCAUUUGCAUGGAAACCAUAGUAGACAGGUUUCCAGAAAGAUGUCAUGGGCCUAAUGCCUUCUCAAGAUGUGACAACCAAACUUAUCUGCAUUUUAAAUGGUCUGCCUUGGUUUUAAAAGAAUAUUGUUCACUUGAGACAUUGCUUUUUAAUUUAUAAAUAGUACAAAAAAUAUUUGAUAGGAAA
Molecule: long non-coding RNA, 1040 nt
Organism: Elaeis guineensis (African oil palm)
Lineage: Eukaryota; Viridiplantae; Streptophyta; Magnoliopsida; Arecales; Arecaceae
Source: RefSeq, a predicted model, not a curated record